Long non-coding RNA from Gossypium raimondii (Peruvian cotton), 588 nucleotides. RefSeq lists it as uncharacterized. The record is from RefSeq and is a predicted model, not a curated record. NCBI's taxonomy places the organism in Eukaryota, Viridiplantae, Streptophyta, Magnoliopsida, Malvales, Malvaceae. The transcript has 2 exons.
AUUAAAGGGAUUUGGUUGGGAUUUUUUUUCAAAUAAUAAUAAGGAAAAUAUCCCUAAAAAUAUCCCCACAUUUCGUCCAAUAUUUCCUCGCUCUCUUCACUUUAUGUUGUUUCACACCAGUUCCUUUAUAUUGGAUUAAUAUCGUUGUUCUGCCGAGUUUGGUGCUAGGAAUUGAUAAUUCUAUAUCAAUGUAAGUGUAGUAAGUGUGUUUUUCCGGUGGUAAGGUUAAUUGAUUCUUUUCAUUUGAAGGUUAAGGGUUUUAGUUGUUCUUAAUUCUCAAUUUUGUUCGUUUUUGGGUUCUUUCAAUGAUGGAUCCUGUGACAAAUACCCCUUUGACAAGUUGAUUAUUGUUGGUAUCAUUCCUUUUUGCAGGUAAGGGGCUAAACACCUUCGUUAGAGGUUGUUUUGUGUAGAAUUGUUAGUGGUUGAGCGACUAAUUGUAUUUUGGUCACAUAUCCUAAUGGAAUAAGGGUUGAAUGCGAGUUUUGUAACACCCCUUACCCGUAUCCAACGCCGGAAUAGGGUACGAGGUGUUACCAGACUUAAAAUUUCUUGAACAUAUAAAACCGGGUCAUAAAAUUUCGUCAA